Molecule: long non-coding RNA, 2732 nt
Filed under: Zea mays
Lineage: Eukaryota; Viridiplantae; Streptophyta; Magnoliopsida; Poales; Poaceae
Description: long non-coding RNA (ZMAY_LNC005453)
Source: RNAcentral
UGGAGAUUAGUUGCGCAGCGGGGACAGGCGUGGGUUAAUUUGAAAUAGAAGUGAAGGGUUAUUUGUAAAAAUAUGACGUGGAGCGACCGUUGAAACUGGUGCUUUAAUAUAGUUGUCACACCCGGGUUUUAGGGACCCGGACGCGAAAUAAUCACCAAGUGUGCUAGGAUCAAAUCUCACACAUAUGAUUACUCAUGGUAUAGAAAUGAAUGCCACAUAUUUACUAUACAAUAGGAGUUCUGUACAAAUUAAAUAAAUAAUUACAUCAUACGCAGACAUCGAUCCAGCAACCAAAGUUGACUAGGAGACGAUGGCCUAGACCACUCACGAACUCGUCACGGCAUCCUUCAUGCGCCUCAUCUUGUGGUACCUGUUCUUGGACCUGGGGAUGUGAGUACAGCAAAGGUGAGCUCACAUACGUUCAUCGCUCAACAAGUUGUGGGGAAUAAUGAGCAUGAACUCACCAAAGGUAGGAGCUCAUGUGAAGUGUAAGGCUUACCAAAGGAGAUGGUUACAGCUGAACAUUGCUUUUAAAGUUGGUCAAAAUUGUAUUAGCAGUUACUAAGUAGAUACCAAACCAAAAAGUAUGAGAUCAAAUUGAUAACAACACUCGCGAUGCAAUGCAUAUGAUAGAUUAAAUUUAGUUCCAUAAAUUAAUUAUGCGAGAGUCCUGAGCUGCUCAUGACCGCGAGCACGGCUAAUAUACCAGUUUUACACUGCAGAGGUUGCACCCUUUACCCCACAAGUCGUGUAUCCCAUCUAGCUAGGGUUAGCUAGACCCUUAGACACUUUCGAGGUGAAUGGCUAGGGAUCCACUACGAGGCCUUUACAAAGUUCCACUAGCUUUAGGAAACCCGCUACAGUUUCUAGAAAGGGUAUUGGAAUCCCUCGUCCGAAAAGCCAUCGCAGCAUGAUCGACCUGAGAACCUCCCUAUAUGUAACUCCCCUAGUGCCCUUGCCCCUUUCGGGUAAGGUAGUCCUCCACUAGCUUUCCUAAUUAGUCAGCCAAGGGUGUCCCAUUCCACCCUUGUGGUAGCACGUGUUUCUCAAGUUAAGCUCCAUGUUCCAAUUAACACAAUGAUCUUGUCAUGAACAAUAAUUAAAAAACACUAUAAUUGGAACAUGAUCAUAAUGUAAUAUUAAUCCCAAAACCAGGUAGAGCAAUAGCAAAACUACCCAAAAGUUCAGUGGCAUACAAGGUGUGGGAUAAACAAGUCUAGGGAAACCUAUUAGGUCCCAUUAGAUUAACCUGUGCAUGUCACAUUGAUUAACCGGAACAUUAUUGGGUAAAGAAAAGUGACCAAGGGCACAACUUGCCUUAGACUUGAGAUUCUCAGGUACAAGGAUGAUCUUCAGAUUCUCGCGACCUCACUGCUAUUCGUAGCAAUACAAACAAACAUUAGGCAAAAUUAACAUCACACCAAACAUAAGAACAAAAUGCAUAAUAAUGUUCUACACGAUGCUACAAGAUCGUGGGUUUGAAAACCACUAAAAUCGGAGUUACGGUUAAAGAGUUAUGAUUUUCUGAAGUUUGAAGUGUUAGAUAUAGAAUAAAUUAAGUGCAUAAAUUUAAUCUAUACCUCAUGACAAAACAGGGUUAUCAAAGGAUAAACAAUAUUAAUAUAAAUUUAAUGCAACUGAAAUGAAUCAAAAAGGUGUUAGAAUAAAUUAAAUAUGAAUUAAACAAGUUUCUGUAAUUAUUUUUAUACUAAAAAUCAUUUUCUUUAUUAAUUUUAAUUAUUUUAUUUAAUUUUUGGGCUGCGGCCACUAUUUCAGAAGAGUCUAGGGUUUAUUUUGUAAAUUCUAGGACUUAAGUGUGUUGAUCUUUCUAUACCCGAGGAUGGUGGGUUGUUUUUGUAAGAGCAUAGGGUCUCUUAUGGAAAAGGUCUCGGCCGAAAGGGUAUGGAUGUUUCCUAGCCAUUGGAUCCAAAAUCGAGGGUCCGGAUUAGAUCAGUCUUUAAGUGAAUGGACACACGAUAUGGACCGCCAGAUCUAAAUCCAAGGGUCAGGAUCUUAUUAAUUUAGAUCUAAUCGUACCCAUUCACAGCCAAUCCAACGGCUUGGAUUGCUUUAAAAGAAGCGGUAUGCUCAAACUAAUCUGGGCUGCCCAUCUAUGGAUCCACGGCCCCACGUCUUCUCCCAACAGCCGCGCGAGGCGGCGGCACGCACGGUCCCAUGGCGGCGCAUCACCGGCGCAUGACAUGCUCGUCGCCCGGUGCACCCAUUCCAAGCGCCGACCAAUGCUACCAGAUCUAUGAAGAAAAGUGCAUCAAUUACCGUGGAUCUUACCAGAGGUAAAGGUGUCCAAGUGUGGCCUAUGGAGGAAAGCGGCUCCAUGCGGAGUACGAUAGUCGACGAGAAAUUCCAGCGCACCAAUCCACCACCGCGCCUGAGGAAGCCACGCCCAGGUUCCUAGUGCCCUAGCAGUCUUCCUCGACCACUAGCUAGUUCUCGAGCGCCGAUGUGAAGUGAUCCCAACGACGGCGGUCUUCACCAUAAUCCAUGGCUUCGCUCGAUUCUCAGUGGCGAAUUCCCCAUUGCCUGGGUUUUUGCUGUCCUGCGAGUUGAUGAAACCACGACGCUUGCGGUCGCGUUUAUAUGCGCGUGGGCAGAGUCCAUGCGAUGCAGGUGGUUUGCUACUGAAUCACACGAUUACAGGUGGGGUUGUUACCAGCUCAUUGAUGCGUUUUGCAGGGAGCCAGGAAGAAGCCGACUGCCUGCAUGGCCCCAUG